CUGCCAGACUCCUACGGGAGGCAGCAGUAGGGAAUCUUUCACAAUGGGCGAAAGCCUGAUGGAGCAACGCCGCGUGAAGGAAGAAGGCUUUCGGGUUGUAAACUUCUUUUCUCAGGGACGAAUAGAUGACGGUACCUGAGGAAUAAGCCACGGCUAACUACGUGCCAGCAGCCGCGGUAAUACGUAGGUGGCAAGCGUUAUCCGGAUUUACUGGGUGUAAAGGGCGUGUAGGCGGGGACGCAAGUCAGAUGUGAAAACCACGGGCUCAACCUGUGGCCUGCAUUUGAAACUGUGUUUCUUGAGUACUGGAGAGGCAGACGGAAUUCCUAGUGUAGCGGUGAAAUGCGUAGAUAUUAGGAGGAACACCAGUGGCGAAGGCGGUCUGCUGGACAGCAACUGACGCUGAGGCGCGAAAGCGUGGGGAGCAAACAGGAUUAGAUACCCUUGUA
This 449-nucleotide ribosomal RNA is filed under the name uncultured bacterium. Its description in RNAcentral is "bacterial SSU rRNA". It matches the Rfam family "Bacterial small subunit ribosomal RNA", at positions 328 to 792 of the family's 1533-position model. The record is from RNAcentral.